GGUGCACGGCGGGGGCCGGCAGCAUUUGGCAGCGGCGCGGCGGGGGCGGCGCCGCCGCGGAGAGGUGGAAGAAAAGCGCCGGGCGCGCUUUAAACGACGGGGAAGGUGGGAACGAGCAGCCCCCCUCGGCGCGAGCAGCCGCCCCCGUGACGCCUCCCCGAAAGCCUGAUACAGUAUACUUUAGCAGAGAGAAAGACUGACCACUGAAAAAGAAAAUCAUGAAAGAGGAGUGGCAAUCUGCUGGCAAUAUGCUGCCUGCAACAUGAUGGAGAAUGAGGACAGUGAAGAUAAUCUGAAAGAUGCAAGGGUGGUUAGAACAGAGUAGAUACUUAAAAAUAUGUUUUGGAAUGAGAUCUGCAGACUACACCACCACCUUGUAAAAACGAUUACCAGAUAUGUCAACAACAGCAACCAAAAAAGAUUAAAAUCAGUUCUAAAAAUGCUUUUGCUUUGGUGUCACAAACCACUCCCUUCAUGGUCAAAAUACCUUAAAAUGUUCAGGUUAAACAAGUGAUUAAUCUAAAAAGCAGACGCAGUAAAUUAAAGGAGCAGGGAGAUAACAAUCUGAUAAUACAGGAGCACAGAAGGCCUAAUAAUGAUAUUAUUAUGCACACUAACCAAACACUGACAAACAAAUAUUCUGUUAAUUAUAUAAUCAUGCAUAUGCUUCCUAUGCUUGAGAUAAAUGAUUAUGGAAAACAACUCUGUUCUUGAAACUCCAUAUAUGUACUUAUGUCAUACAAAUUCCCAGCAAUGUGGAUUAAUUUAAUUUCUGUGUAUCACUCUGGUAAAGUAUUCACUACAGAUUUUUGAAUGCUGGCAUGAAAUCUUCGCUUUGACUUGAAAGCAAGAAUUAAUGAAAGGUGCUGUGUCUUGACAUACAGACAACAAUCAGAUUUUACUUAUCAAUUCCAAACUAUUUGGAAUAAAUUUAAGAUACACUUAUCUGAUUUUUCCUUUGACCUAUUCCAAUUUGCACUCCACUGUGUCAACUUCAAUAUUUAAGUGUUCCACUAGAAUAAAGAUACUUACAAUAAAAAACAUAUAUAAAGAACAGAAGAUGAAUAGAUAUUGUCAUGGAUACAUAUGCAGGCAAUCAUUUAAACAUGCAGCAAUAGUAACAUCACAUUUUUCAUAGCUUCUAGUCAACAU
Molecule: long non-coding RNA, 1152 nt
Organism: Rhea pennata
Lineage: Eukaryota; Metazoa; Chordata; Aves; Rheiformes; Rheidae
Exons: 3
Source: RefSeq, a predicted model, not a curated record